UGGGGAAUUUUGGACAAUGGGCGAAAGCCUGAUCCAGCAAUGCCGCGUGUGUGAAGAAGGCCUUCGGGUUGUAAAGCACUUUUGUCCGGAAAGAAAUCCUUGGCUCUAAUACAGUCGGGGGAUGACGGUACCGGAAGAAUAAGCACCGGCUAACUACGUGCCAGCAGCCGCGGUAAUACGUAGGGUGCAAGCGUUAAUCGGAAUUACUGGGCGUAAAGCGUGCGCAGGCGGUUUGCUAAGACCGAUGUGAAAUCCCCGGGCUCAACCUGGGAACUGCAUUGGUGACUGGCAGGCUAGAGUAUGGCAGAGGGGGGUAGAAUUCCACGUGUAGCAGUGAAAUGCGUAGAGAUGUGGAGGAAUACCGAUGGCGAAGGCAGCCCCCUGGGCCAAUACUGACGCUCAUGCACGAAAGCGUGGGGAGCAAACAGGAUUAGAUACCCUGGUAGUCCACGCCCUAAACGAUGUCAACUAGUUGUUGGGGAUUCAUUUCCUUAGUAACGUAGCUAACGCGUGAAGUUGACCGCCUGGGGAGUACGGUCGCAAGAUUAAAACUUCAAAUGAAUUGACGGGGUCAUAGCUGUUU
Molecule: ribosomal RNA, 583 nt
Filed under: uncultured bacterium
Lineage: Bacteria
Description: partial 16S ribosomal RNA
Rfam family: Bacterial small subunit ribosomal RNA
Source: RNAcentral